RNAcentral lists this long non-coding RNA (2682 nucleotides) under Lynx pardinus (Iberian lynx). The record is from RNAcentral. Lineage: Eukaryota; Metazoa; Chordata; Mammalia; Carnivora; Felidae.
GGGGGGCUUCCGGGGAGACGCCUCCAGGCCCUUCAGCUCCCGCGAGCCCCCCCGCACCCGGCGGCUGGUGGGAGCAGCUGACCCAGGCCUCCCGGGUCUACGCGUCCGGGAGCGGCGAGGGCUUCCCUCUCCCCCGGUGGAGGUCCUGGCGUCCCUCCGGCACCGCCGAAGGAGCCCAGGACGGGCCCCUGCCCGCGGAGGAAGCGGCACCAGGCAGAGGCGUGUGGCUGGGGAGACUGUUUGGGGUGCCGGGGGGCGUCACAGAAGCCGACGGUGGAGCCUUGAAGUCCAGGUAAUGGGGUAGCCGGGCCCCUCCAGGACUCUGGCCCCUUCUCAGAGCCCCCAGUCAUCCCAGUUGGAACCUAUAGAGACCGUUUGCGCCAGAGGUUGGCCGGCUUGUUUUCCUAGGGCCCGAGCGGCACGUGGUUCCCGUUAGGCCCGCCCUGCAAGCCCCGCAGGUGCCGUCCGUGCUCGUGCUCCUGCCCUGGGGUUUGGCCACGGUGGCCUCGGCCUGUCCAGUGAGACUCGGGGCCUCCCUGAGCCCGCUGCUCCCAGAGGCCCCUUCCGGGGCGUCGGUGACCUUGGUGGGCGCCCCCCCCCCCAUCACCGUGAGGGUGCCUGUGUCCCGCAGCUGCCUCCGUGCUCCCAGCAGUGACCCGUCCCUGACCUCUUUUGAGUCAGGCGCCUCCCCACGUCCUCCCUCCUCCCAAACCCCGGGUUCUUGGGUUCUUUUUCUGGAUGCCCGGUGACCCCUGUGACCCUGUGUCCUUCGUCCAGGAGACCGUCCAGCUGGCUGCCGCCGACAGUGAGCGUGUUGGCUCUGGUGAGGCGGGCGCCACCUCCCGAGACUCUGUCUUCCCCCGAGGAGCCUGAGGCCGCAGCCCCGAGCGCCCCGCAGACCCACAGGUCAGGAGGGCGGCUUCUGCUUGGGGAGAGUGGGGGUCAGGGGGGUCGUGGCGCAGAGGCCUGGGGCCACGAGGUCAGCUGGUGACCAGUGUGACGCUGCUGCCUCUCAGCCCGUUUCUCUCUCGUCCGUUGGCGAUGGUCUUAGGAAGACUAAACCUAAGUGUGUGAGGCCUGUGGUGCCCGGCAGGUGCCUGGGACCGGUCACUUGUUGCUGUCCUCUGAGGGGUCAUGCUUCCCUGAGGGUUUUUCAGGUUCAGACCUGCUUCUACUCCGGAGUCUGGCCUCAGCCUGGUUGUCUCAGUGCACCGAAUUAGGUUUCUUUUCUUUUCUUUUUUUAAGCUUAUUUAUUUUGAGGGAGAGCGAGCGCGAGUGCAGGGGAGGGACAGAGAGAGAGAAUCCCAAGCAGGCUCUGCACCGUCAGCACAGAGCCCCAUAUGGGGCUUGAACCCAUGAAUCGUGAGAUCGUGACUUAAGCGGAAAUCCAGUCAGCCGCUUUACCGACUGCGCCACCAGGCGCCCCUGAAUUCAGCUUCUUGGCUUUUCCUUCGCUCAACGAUUCUUUUCAAGUCCUUCUUACGAGCCGGGCGUUAUGCUCUGGGAGGGAACGCGAAGGCACGGGCACUGGAGUCCGUGCCCUCACGGAGCUUGUGGCCCAGGGAGGACCCCGGUGCAGGAACGCGCAGCCCCGUGUGGUGGAUGCUCUGGGAGGGGAGGACUGAGUCCCUCGGGGCCAGGUCUGGGGGCGCAGCUGUGUAGGGGGUACCAGGGUGAUGGCAGCAGCGAGAUGCCUGAGGCCUCAGUGAGUGGGAGGAACCCGGACUCCAUCCUUGAGGCCCUGGGAGGCAGCCUGGGGGGACAGGGGCAGGGAGAGGUGAGCAGACCCUGCCCUGGGGCCCGGGAGUGAGGACGGCAGUGGCGUCCAAGAGGAGGGCGGAUGGAGUGAAGGAGACACAGGCGCCAAACAAGUUUUUUGGGGGGUGGGGACGAUUGGAUGUGGGGUCAGGACGCUGCACAUUCUGGCAGGAGACACCCCCCUCCCCCCAGGGUGGGGGAGAGCAAGGGGGUGUGUUUGCCACGGAGGGGGCCUAGGAGGAGGAACUGGUCCUGAGGGGGGGACUGGUGGGGAGGCCGGGCAGUCGGUCCCCACGCCUCUCCCGGAGCCUCACCUGGCCUGUCCCUCCGGUCCGCAGGGCAGUGCGCGCGCUCUGUGACCACACGGCCGCGGGACCCGGUCAGCUGAGCUUCCGGCGCGGGGAGGUGCUGCGAGUCCUGGGCACCGUGGACGAGGACUGGCUCCGCUGUGGGCGCGAUGGCGCCGAGGGGCUGGUGCCCGUGGGGUACACGUCUCUGGUCCUCUAGGCCGAGGGCCUUUCCAGCCGCGUCGCCCCCCCGGGAACGGUGACCUGUGCAGGCGCCGCAGAAGCAUUGGCCUGUCUGCAAUACGACCUGUCCCCCCCCAGCCCCCCGCGUCCGUGUCUGCCGAUGUGAGAUCCGCUCUCCUUCCUCCCCGUCCCGCCGGUGAAACCUGCUCGUCUUCUAAGUACGAAAGGAAUUUCCCUCCACCUCCCUCCUCUUCCCACCUGCGUAAGGAACCGUUUCCCUUCCCAGCCGCACCUCUGCCUUCGUCGUCUGCGAGCGGACCGUCCCCACACUGGAAGGGCCUGGUCUCCUUCCUGCGCAUGGACACCCCGCAGCGCCCACGUUGCUUGUAUUUAUUCUGUGCUCCGACCCCCCUGCUGGGUGGGCCCGUGGUGCCGGUCCGCCCGCCCCUCCUUU